CAGGAAGUUCCCAUCAUGGCUCAGUGGAAACGAAUCUGACUAGCAUCCAUGAGGACCCAAGUUCGAUCCCUGGCCUCGCUCAGUGGGUUAAGGAUCCCAAGGCGUUGCCGUGAGCUGUGGUGUAGGUCACAGAUUCGGCUCAGACCCUGCAUUGCUGUGGCUCUGGCGUAGGCUGGCAGCUACAGCUCUAAUUUGACCCCUGGCCUGGGAACCUCCAUAUGCCGUGGGUGCAGCCCUAAAAAGACAAACAAACAAACCAAAAAAAACUGCAUUCAUUGUGGUUCUAGGCGUUUUGUCACUUCCUCAAUUUAAUCUUCACAAUCGAGCUCUUAGAUCGUUACAAUGACUGUCCUCAUUUUACAGAUGAACAAACUGAGGCUCAGAGGGCUUUGCUCCUGUGACCAUUCGUAAGGGGAGAAGCUACGACACGGCUCCAAUCUGUCUAAUUCCAGAGUUCACACGCUUGUAACCACCACCCCUUCAUGGCUGCCACAAGAACGAGUGAAAACCUGUGGGAAAAGUGCAAAGGCAGUUAAUUUGUGGCGUGAGAGCACAGGAAACUCAGCUCUCAGAACGGGCUUCAGGAGAAGGCCGGAAGCCUGCAGCAACGUUUUGAAUUGAAGGCGGGGGCUCUGAGACACCCAGAGCCUGAGUCGCUGGAAACAGCAGCUGCCCCCAGGGGUCUGUAAAAGGUCAGGGUGAGGGGUGUUGCAGGAAAGGUGUCUCAGGACAGUGGGUAAAGGGCACCCCGGGGACCAAGCUCGAGAGGCCCCUCAGAGGCCGCUGGGGGUCCAUCCAUACACCAAGGAAGGUGCGGGGCAAGGCAAGCUUCCGCACCGAGCCGGGGUCUCUCCUGGCACAGCUGUCAGUGCCUCCGGUCACUUCCUGCACCCAGCAGGCACCCGUUUGGAGGAUGUUUCCAGCUCCUUUGCCAUUGAGCUGGUAGAGCAUGAGAAGAAGCAACCUGUGUCUCUUCUGAGCUGAGGAUGUUGAGAAGCAGAUGUGCCCCAUCCACCUCUCCGCCCCCUGCCUUGACCUCUUGCUCUAGAAGAUGGCACAGCCGCAGAUGGAAAGAGCCAGGGGGCCUCUCCACCCAGAGGCAGGCCACCUGCCAAUCAGAGCGC
This 1124-nucleotide long non-coding RNA is filed under the name Sus scrofa (pig). RNAcentral describes it as "lncRNA (ENSSSCG00070002759.1)". Lineage: Eukaryota; Metazoa; Chordata; Mammalia; Artiodactyla; Suidae. The record is from RNAcentral.